UUACGUUUUCACCGUUCGGGUGACGAGGGAGACGAGGUGGUGCAGUGGUUGUCGUCAGCUCGUGUCGUGAGAUGUUGGGUUAAGUCCCGCAACGAGCGCCAACCCCUAUUGUUAGUUGCCAUCAUUCAGUUGGGCACUCUAGCGAGACUGCCGGUAAUAACCGGAGGAAGGUGGGAUGACGUCAAAUCAUCAUGCCCCUUAUGACCUGGGCUACACACGUGCUACAAUGGUUGGUACAACGAGUUGCGAGUCGGUGACGGCGAGCUAAUCUCUUAAAGCCAAUCUCAGUUCGGAUUGUAGGCUGCAACUCGCCUACAUGAAGUCGGAAUCGCUAGUAAUCGCGGAUCAGCACGCCGCGGUGAAUACGUUCCCGGGCCUU
This 379-nucleotide ribosomal RNA is filed under the name uncultured Streptococcus sp. RNAcentral's name for it is "bacterial SSU rRNA". It matches the Rfam family "Bacterial small subunit ribosomal RNA", at positions 1006 to 1382 of the family's 1533-position model. Lineage: Bacteria; Bacillati; Bacillota; Bacilli; Lactobacillales; Streptococcaceae. The record is from RNAcentral.